This is a non-coding RNA of Pelobates cultripes (western spadefoot toad), 386 nucleotides long. Lineage: Eukaryota; Metazoa; Chordata; Amphibia; Anura; Pelobatidae. The record is from the annotation of a GenBank genome assembly.
AUCUGGAGGGGAUAACUGGUACAGUUGACUUAGAACUUUGGAGAACCGACCCUUUCUCUGCAAUUCUGCUUAGCAUUCUGUUCUGCAAAUGUGCAUUGUAUAAACAAUAACAAAAACAUGAAAAGGGAAGGAUACAGUGUUACAUUAAUUCACUUUAUCACUAGUAUAAUUACAUGCUUUGAGAGUGUCUAACAUGAUUAACAGAUUAAAUCUCUCAGUCACGGCUAGAUCAAAGUGUUCUUUUAACAGAGAGUGUUUCCUUAGUAAGAUUCACGUUUGUCCCAAGAGAGGACUUGUCUACACAGAUCUUGGCAUGACACUGCCGCCUCGGUGACAUAUCGCUGUGCAUUUUCGGACACAUGUUGGAUCCUGACAUUCUUCAAACC